AGAAUCAACGCUGGCGGCGUGCCUAACACAUGCAAGUCGCACGAGAAAGGGGCUUCGGCUCUGAGUAAAGUGGCGCACGGGUGAGUAACACGUGACUAAUCUACCCUCGAGUGGGGAAUAACUGAGAGAAAUCUUAGCUAAUACCGCAUAACACUUACGAGUCAAAGCAGCAAUGCGCUUGGGGAGGAGGUCGCGGCCGAUUAGCUAGUUGGUGGGGUAAAGGCCUACCAAGGCUACGAUCAGUAGCUGGUCUGAGAGGAUGAUCAGCCACACUGGGACUGAGACACGGCCCAGACUCCUACGGGAGGCAGCAGUAGGGAAUCUUGCGCAAUGGGCGAAAGCCUGACGCAGCCAUGCCGCGUGAAUGAUGAAGGUCUUAGGAUUGUAAAAUUCUUUCAGCGGGGACAUAAUGACGGUACCGCAGAAGAGCCCGCUAACUCGUGCCAGCAGCCGCGU
This 456-nucleotide ribosomal RNA is filed under the name uncultured bacterium. RNAcentral describes it as "SSU rRNA". It matches the Rfam family "Bacterial small subunit ribosomal RNA", at positions 26 to 520 of the family's 1533-position model. The record is from RNAcentral.